Molecule: ribosomal RNA, 497 nt
Filed under: uncultured bacterium
Lineage: Bacteria
Description: partial 16S ribosomal RNA
Rfam family: Bacterial small subunit ribosomal RNA
Source: RNAcentral
GAUGAACGCUGGCGGCGUGCCUAAUACAUGCAAGUCGAGCGAACGGACGAGACGCUUGCUUCUCUGUUGUUAGCCGCGCACGGGUGAGUCACACGUGGAUACCCUCCCUAUCAGACUGGGAUCACUUCGGGACACCGGCGCUAAUACCGUAUAAUAUUUUGCACCACAUUGUUCAAAAGUGAAAGACGGUCUUUCUGUCACUUAUAGAUGGUUCCGCGCUGCAUUAGCUAGUUGUUAAGGUACUGGCGUACCAAGGCGACGAUGCAUAGCCGACGUGAGAGGGGGGUCGGCGACAUGGGAAGGGAGACGCGGACAAGAGGACUGCGGGAGGGAGCAGUAGGGAAUGGUCGGCAAUGGGCGAAAGCAUGACGGAGCGAGGGCGCGUGAGUGAUGAAGGUGUUCGGAUCGUAAAACUCUGUUAUUGGGGAAGAACAGAUGUGGAAGGAAAUGAGCAGAUAGUGACGGUACCGAAUAAGAAAGCAACGGCUAACUACGUG